GAUGAACGCUGGCGGCGUGCCUAAUACAUGCAAGUCGAGCGAACGGACGAGAAGCUUGCUUCUCUGAUGUUAGCGGCGGACGGGUGAGUAACACGUGGAUAACCUACCUAUAAGACUGGGAUAACUUCGGGAAACCGGAGCUAAUACCGGAUAAUAUUUUGAACCGCAUGGUUCAAAAGUGAAAGACGGUCUUGCUGUCACUUAUAGAUGGAUCCGCGCUGCAUUAGCUAGUUGGUAAGGUAACGGCUUACCAAGGCAACGAUGCAUAGCUGACCUGAGAGGGUGAUCAGCCACACUGGAACUGAGACACGGUCCAGACUCCUACGGGAGGCAGCAGUAGGGAAUCUUGCGCAAUGGGCGAAAGCCUGACGGAGCAACGCCGCGUGAGUGAUGAAGGUCUUCGGAUCGUAAAACUCUGUUAUUAGGGAAGAACAUAUGUGUAAGUAACUGUGCACAUCUUGACGGUACCUAAUCAGAAAGCCACGGCUAACUACGUG
Molecule: ribosomal RNA, 497 nt
Filed under: uncultured bacterium
Lineage: Bacteria
Description: partial 16S ribosomal RNA
Rfam family: Bacterial small subunit ribosomal RNA
Source: RNAcentral